CUCUCUCGAUCCAUUCACACUCCACACAAGUUUAGCAGAGGCUUCUUCCUCUCUCCAUCCACGCUCUCUCCAUCGCUCCGUCCACGCUCUCCCCGUCACAGGAGCUUCUUUCACCGCCGCCGCUCUCCCCAUAUCUCCGUCCACGAAGAAGCUCCAUCGCUUACGAGCUCCAUUUUUCUGCUCUGUUUGAGCUGUGUUUCAGUCCCCUCCAUUUAGAUCUGCGCUUCUGAAUUUCAGAUCGCGUUCCGAUUCAAUUUGAGACAAUAAUCACUUCCGUCAUUUCAAAGAUCGAAUGCAGACAUGGUUGUACUUGCUGCAUCCAUUGUGGGCAAAUUUGGUAAAGUUCUGGUUUCUAGGCAGUUUGUUGAUAAUGUUGUGCAGAUAUGUGUACUAAAGUAGUUCUGUGAAGACAGCUUAUCUCUCCAAAUUUAUGUGAAGACAGAAAGUUAUGAGAAGACAGCUUACCUCUCCAAAUUUUCUGGAUAUGAAUUGUAGCAUUUCUCAAGGGGAAACAGUAACGAAUAUCCACCACUGGAAUGUUGGGCACACGAGUUUUCAAUACAAGACAUGGAGCAUUACCUUUCACUUCCUUUUUAUGAAACUCUCUCCAUCGAACCAAUUUCAACUAUUAAAGGUGAAAACUGAUGGAGCAAACUCUAAGGGAAAAAGAUGCAGCUAACUGAGUUUACAGGGGUGAAGGAGCUGUUAAUCUUGUUCUUGCUUACAAUGGAUCAAUUAAGUGUAUCGGAUAUGAUGACACCAAUUAAGUGUAUCAGCUACGUCUUGAAUUAAGUGUAUCGGAUAUGAUGAGACCAAUUAAGUGUUUCCAUAUAUUACGAAUGGUUACUUGAUUUCCUUAUCGGUGAUUCUAAUUGAGGUUGAUAAUCUACAAGAUAUCCUUGGCCCAUAUAUAUUCAGAUCAAAGGUGUUAAUAAAGAUGCAGUGGCAGUAGUGGGUUCAAUGCUUGAAUUGGAUGGCUCAUAUACAACUAAGAGUUAUCUUGAAAUAAUUUUAAACAGACUACCAACAAUAGAAAGAACUUCUACUGGGAUUAACUCUCAUCAAUCAGCAAGGCUGCUAGAGAUUAUUGAAUUUAUUCAAUCUUAGACAAAUGAGCUCUAUCAGCUGGCGUCUGUUGCCUUCUGCUUGCUUGUAGCCUGAUAAGGCCUUAGAGCUUGGAAUCAUAAACAGCCGCCAUGAAGCCUUCAUCACUUCCAAACUUUGGUGCAACAUUGAUCACCAUGACCUUGUCCUUCCAGCUCUCAAGACCACACUUAAGUGGAAAUGAGCUCAUCAUGGCAACAAGGGAAACUCAGAGAAUUUUGAAGCAGAAAGGAAUCCAUUUGGCUGCAUGGUCACCGUUUUCUAGUAAAGUCACAGAUAUUGGCAUCCAUUUUCUAAAAGGGCUACAAAAUCUUGCUCUGUUAAAUUUGGAAGGCUGCUUUGUAACAACUGCAUGCUUGGAUACUCUUGCAGAGCUUCCAGCCCUCUCGAACUUGAAUAUCAGUAGAUGCAAUUUUACUAACAAUGGAUGUGAAAUGUUUUCACCUUCCAUCAAUUGAAGUUGUUGCAAAUUCACCACCAACUGAACGUGAUCAUAGGCGGCCACCAAUUCAUGUGAUUGUCAUAUGUCCAACUCAAGAGCUUGCAAGUCAAGCGACUACAGAAGCUGCUGAAUUGCUUAAGUAUCAUCCUACCAUUGGUGUUCAGGUUGUAAUUGGAGGGACAAGACUUGCCUUAGAACAGAAACGUAUGCAAGCAAAUCCUUGCCAGUACAGAUCCUUGUUGCUACAUCUGGAAGGCUUAGAGAUCAUAUGGAGAAUACUACUGGCUUUGCAACUCGGCUGAUGGGUGUGAAAGUGUGGGUGCUCGAUGAAGCGGAUCAUUUACUGGACAUGGGAUUUCAGAAAGAUGUUUUGAAUACAGAGUUUAUAUUUUGAAUUAUAGUUCAUGUAUCAAUACACUUUGUUGAUAUAUGGUUAUUACUUAUUAUUAUAGUUGAUGUAUCAAUACACUUUGUUUAUGUUUUGAAUUAUAUUGACUUGUUUGUUUAUA
Molecule: RNA transcript, 2055 nt
Organism: Arachis stenosperma
Lineage: Eukaryota; Viridiplantae; Streptophyta; Magnoliopsida; Fabales; Fabaceae
Exons: 15
Source: RefSeq, a predicted model, not a curated record